AGUGAACGCUGGCGGUAGGCCUAACACAUGCAAGUAGAACGGCAGCACAGUAAGAGCUUGCUCUUACGGGUGGCGAGUGGCGGACGGGUGAGGAAUACAUCGGAAUCUACUUUUUCGUGGGGGAUAACGUAGGGAAACUUACGCUAAUACCGCAUACGACCUACGGGUGAAAGCAGGGGAUCUUCGGACCUUGAGCGAUUGAAUGAGCCGAUGUCGGAUUAGCUAGUUGGCGGGGUAAAGGCCCACCAAGGCGACGAUCCGUAGCUGGUCUGAGAGGAUGAUCAGCCACACUGGAACUGAGACACGGUCCAGACUCCUACGGGAGGCAGCAGUGGGGAAUAUUGGACAAUGGGCGCAAGCCUGAUCCAGCCAUACCGCGUGGGUGAAGAAGGCCUUCGGGUUGUAAAGCCCUUUUGUUGGGAAAGAAAAGCAGCAGGUUAAUACCCCGCUGUUCUGACGGUACCCAAAGAAUAAGCACCGGCUAACUUCGUG
RNAcentral lists this ribosomal RNA (492 nucleotides) under uncultured bacterium. RNAcentral describes it as "partial 16S ribosomal RNA". It matches the Rfam family "Bacterial small subunit ribosomal RNA", at positions 29 to 507 of the family's 1533-position model. The record is from RNAcentral.